GGCUCGAUGGCGGAGGGUCCGCGCCUGUGCUGCAUAUCAUGGCAAGAAAUGGGUAAUCCAGGAGGGGUCCGUUCGACUCGGGCUCGAGCCA
Molecule: non-coding RNA, 91 nt
Organism: Mycena latifolia
Lineage: Eukaryota; Fungi; Basidiomycota; Agaricomycetes; Agaricales; Mycenaceae
Source: the annotation of a GenBank genome assembly